Molecule: unclassified non-coding RNA, 172 nt
Organism: Chelonoidis abingdonii (Abingdon island giant tortoise)
Lineage: Eukaryota; Metazoa; Chordata; Testudines; Testudinidae
Source: Ensembl
UUGACAAUCUUGGAGACUGAAGCUCUCUAUUUAUUGACAGAACAUGUACAGCUCAGUGAGUGGCAGUGCUAGCUCCCUUUAGACUCUAUUAAUACAUCUCCACCUUGGAGGUGGCUCUUUCUAAGGCUGAGAGCAUAGUCCAGUUUGCAUGCCUUGGCCUUCCAAGGCCUCU